AAGACUAUACUUUCAGGGAUCAUUUCUAUAGUUUGUUUCUAGUGAAAUGCGUUUCUAAAGUGUCUGGUCUCGCUAACCAUGAUGAGGAGUUACAGUGUUUUCUUCUGAGCGUGAAGCGGGUCUUGAAUGCUGCUUCACUGUAGCUGUUCUUGAUCAUUGAUGACUGUUCUGCCCUCUUUUGAGGGUGGAGGAAGAAAACACGGUCUGAGUGGU
Small nucleolar RNA from Acipenser ruthenus (sterlet), 213 nucleotides. RefSeq annotates it as small nucleolar RNA U3. The transcript has a single exon. Lineage: Eukaryota; Metazoa; Chordata; Actinopteri; Acipenseriformes; Acipenseridae. The record is from RefSeq and is a predicted model, not a curated record.